This 376-nucleotide ribosomal RNA is filed under the name uncultured bacterium. RNAcentral's name for it is "bacterial SSU rRNA". It matches the Rfam family "Bacterial small subunit ribosomal RNA", at positions 523 to 898 of the family's 1533-position model. The record is from RNAcentral.
AAACGUAGGAGGCGAGCGUUAUCCGGAUUCACUGGGCGUAAAGGGCAAGUAGGCGGCAGCACAAGUUGGGCGUGACAAAUCUCGGCUUAACUGAGAAGGGUCGUCCAAAACUAGGCUGCUAGAGGGCAGAAGAGGAAGGCGGAACUCCUAAUGUAGCAGUGGAAUGCUUAGAUAUUAGGAGGAACACCGGUGGCGAAGGCGGCCUUCUGGUCUGCAUCUGACGCUGAGAGGCGAAAGCUAGGGUAGCAAACGGGCUUAGAUACCCCGGUAGUCCUAGCUGUAAACGGUGGAUACUAGGUAUUGGGGGUUAUACUCCCGCAGUGCCGAAGCCAACGCGUUAAGUAUCCCGCCUGGGGACUACGACCGCAAGGUUAAA